This is a long non-coding RNA of Nomascus leucogenys (northern white-cheeked gibbon), 1309 nucleotides long. RefSeq lists it as uncharacterized. NCBI's taxonomy places the organism in Eukaryota, Metazoa, Chordata, Mammalia, Primates, Hylobatidae. The record is from RefSeq and is a predicted model, not a curated record. The transcript has 2 exons.
CUGUCUAGAAUGUUGUGCCUGGUUUGGGUCUUACAGUUUAAGAAGGACCAGACUGUCUAAGGAAUAGGGCUCAAAAUAACUCAAAAAACUGAGAAUAUUUAGUCACCCUUUAACUGAAUGUUAACUGAGGUUCAAACUUCUGAUGUUAUUCUCAAUCAGAUUUUAGCAUUUGUAUCAGUUGUUCAUUCUUUAGCCAUUAUUUCUAGAAAAUUUCCUAAAAUGAUUUUAUGUAAACACUAUCCUCAGGAGAGUUUAAAAAGAAUUUUAUACAGAGAGAUGUGAAUACCUAAAAAAAAUUUGCAUUUUAAAGAAGUAAAAACAUUUAGGAUCUUAUCAGAUUGACAGCAGGAGACUCGAGCUGUACAUCUGUUACAGCUCUGACACUCUUCUCUCAACAGCCAAAUGAUCUUACUAGAGAGGCUUUGGAUUUUCAAACUCUUCUGCUUUUCCGAGAUGAAAAAAAUAUGCAGUGUGCUAUUUGGUUUUUGUUUUAUUUCAUUCUUCCCAUUUAUGCAUUUAUUCAUUUUGCAUUCAUGCUGCUGUUUGAUAAAUAUAGAGCACUUGGCAAUUUUGUGAGCUAUACAAUGACCAACAAGCUACAGACUUUGCAUUAAAGAGGACUGUAAUCUCAUGAAGAAGAAAGCAAGUCAUAGAUUGUCAACCGCCCCUUUCUCCCAUCCUCAAUGUACCACUCUGAUUUUCUGGUUAUAAUUUUGAAGUUUUCUUCAAUGCAGAAGUCUAUUACUUUUCAUCAGUUUGAAUGAGAUCUGAAAAUAAACUGUGGACUGGAAGAGAAUAAGGUAGGGAUUUUGCUUUGAAUCAUUAUUGUAUUCCUAUUUAGUGGGUUUCACAUGUUAAAUUCAAAUAAUGAUAAUUUUCUAGGGCUGAAGAGUCAUUUCUCUCUGAGGACAGAUGCCUGAAAGCAAAAAUCAUCCUGAAAUAAUUUCUCAAAUAAAUCCAAGAUAAGCCUGUUUGGCUAUAAGGGAGUACUUCAGAGCUUUAUAAAAUGUGAAAGUUUAAACACUAAAGAAAAUUUAUUGUUUAAAAUUGUUAAAAUUACAUACUCUGUAUACUUUGUAGCAAUAAAACUCUUUCCACCACAGGUAAUUUACGAAUGCUGUUUCAAGGUGAACAAAUCAUUAUGUUUUUUUUUUCUUUUAUGUGAAGCUCUAAUUGAAAAUUAAUAAUCAUUAUAUUAAAAUAUGGAUUUUCUAUUGGUAUUACUUUUCAGGUGUCACAGAUUUCAUCUCUAUAAAUGUAAAGCUCUGGAAUAAAAUAAAAAUAAUAAAUAGAAACUUCCAUCCUGCUU